GCACCCGUAGCUCAGUUGGAUAGAGCGUCGGUCUACGGAACCGAAGGUCAGAGGUUCAAAUCCUCUCGGGUGCACCA
RNAcentral lists this transfer RNA (77 nucleotides) under Candidatus Abawacabacteria bacterium RIFCSPHIGHO2_01_FULL_46_8. RNAcentral describes it as "tRNA-Arg". It matches the Rfam family "tRNA". Rfam says of the family: Transfer RNA (tRNA) molecules are approximately 80 nucleotides in length. Their secondary structure includes four short double-helical elements and three loops (D, anti-codon, and T loops). Further hydrogen bonds mediate the characteristic L-shaped molecular structure. tRNAs have two regions of fundamental functional importance: the anti-codon, which is responsible for specific mRNA codon recognition, and the 3' end, to which the tRNAs corresponding amino acid is attached (by aminoacyl-tRNA synthetases). tRNAs cope with the degeneracy of the genetic code in two manners: having more than one tRNA (with a specific anti-codon) for a particular amino acid; and 'wobble' base-pairing, i.e. permitting non-standard base-pairing at the 3rd anti-codon position. The record is from RNAcentral. Lineage: Bacteria; Candidatus Abawacaibacteriota.